Molecule: long non-coding RNA, 629 nt
Filed under: Triticum aestivum (bread wheat)
Lineage: Eukaryota; Viridiplantae; Streptophyta; Magnoliopsida; Poales; Poaceae
Description: long non-coding RNA (TAES_LNC027482)
Source: RNAcentral
GAAACGAGCUUCUCCAUGAGGAGAGCUGAUAAGCUUGUAACAAUAUAAUGUAUCAAACUCAACCGUAUCUCCAAGGUGUAUUAAACUGACAAGCAGUGGUCAGUGAAACCAAGAGAGAUGCGCAACAAAAUAGCGCCACCACACUCAUAAGUCAUAAGCAGUUAUCUCGAUAUUAAUUUCACAUGUUCCUUUGGUAAAUUCCAAAGUUUCACGUACCACUUCAAGUCGAAAAUUUUCACAACUGAAUAGAGUGGAACUAGGACACGUGGCCCCUCGGCCGUAUCUUGCUCUUUGUUUUCUGUUGGCUAGUGUAGGUUGGCCUGCCUUUUUCCAUUCUUCUUUGUUGUUUUAGUUUUGUUUGUUUGUAGUUAGCUGUCGGGUGAGUUCUGUUGUUUCUGCCUCCUCCUCGUUGUCUUCGUCUUGACCGAGAUAGGACACACAAGUUUGCUCUCGCUUGAGUGAUGAAUAUGCAGAUACAAUGAUCAGAACAGAGCAAGCAUCAUCAGUAAUCAUACAUUCAUUCCAUGAAAAGUACCAAUUGCAUUCCUAAUAUGGAAUAUGUGUAGCUAAAUUACAUGCUAAUGGCAGAAAUGCUACUUACUCACCCUUUAUUUAUUUUCAGAGGUGUC